UUUUUCAGUAGUUUAAGACAUGCAAAUCGUUGUUCCCAACGUCCUUUUUUUUAAUUAAUAUUUUUAAUAUUAAUGGGAUUAUGGGGAUAAGGUGUAGAGGUGAGUAUGUUAAAUAAGAUACCCUAUAGUCUUCUUAACUAGGAGAUAUAAAUUAAAGGAAAAUUUCUGCUAUAGGAUUCUAUUUAAUUUGAUUAGGUAGUUGAUAGGGUAACGGCCUACCAAGCCAACGAUCGAAAGUCAAGUUUGAAAGAACCUCUGGCCACAUUGGGGAUGAAAUCUCCCAAGUAGUAAACACACUACCAGCAGUCGAGAAUAUUAGUCAAUGCUCGUAAGAGUGAACUAGCUAACUGAAAUCAUUGAAUUUUUUCAAAUUCAGGAUGUCGUAAGGGAAAAUAAUGAUAAUACCUUACUAUGAGUGUCGUCCAAAUCUGGUGCCAGAAGACUCGGUAAGACCAGAGACGCAAACGUUAAUCAUCAUAAACAGGCGUAAAGGGUUUGUAGGCAGCUUUUAUAAGAUUAUGAUUGCAACAAACUAAAGGGUAAUCUAAAUUAAAAGCUAGAAUCAAAAAGAGGUUAUAGUGUAUAACGCCUAGAGGAGGGCUGAUAUCCAUAGAUCCUAGGCAGAAUACUCAGGGCGAAGGCCACUCUCCACUAAUGAUUGACGCUGAGAAACGAAGGUUAGGGUAGGAAAUAGGAU
RNAcentral lists this ribosomal RNA (697 nucleotides) under Ganoderma lucidum. RNAcentral describes it as "partial small subunit ribosomal RNA". It matches the Rfam family "Bacterial small subunit ribosomal RNA", at positions 36 to 778 of the family's 1533-position model. Lineage: Eukaryota; Fungi; Basidiomycota; Agaricomycetes; Polyporales; Polyporaceae. The record is from RNAcentral.